This 253-nucleotide ribosomal RNA is filed under the name uncultured bacterium. Its description in RNAcentral is "partial 16S ribosomal RNA". It matches the Rfam family "Bacterial small subunit ribosomal RNA", at positions 524 to 776 of the family's 1533-position model. The record is from RNAcentral.
UACGGAGGGGGCUAGCGUUGUUCGGAAUUACUGGGCGUAAAGCGCACGUAGGCGGCUUUGUAAGUUAGAGGUGAAAGCCCAGGGCUUAACCCUGGAAUUGCCUUUAAGACUGCAUCGCUAGAAUUGUGGAGAGGUAAGUGGAAUUCCGAGUGUAGAGGUGAAAUUCGUAGAUAUUCGGAAGAACACCAGUGGCGAAGGCGGCUUACUACACAAUGAUUGACGCUGAGGCACGAAAGCGUGGGGAUCAAACAGG